CUUGGGUUUUAAGACAUUGGUAGCAUGUGUUACAGCUUAAUAUUUUCAAAGAAGUUCCCUUGCCUCCUUUUUUCUUGUGGCAAUCAGGAACGUAGCAUGACCCGUUAUCGUGAUCAGAUAACAGGUAGCACAAUCAGGUAUCACGAUCAUGGAGCAAGGAGCGGGACUUGAUAUCUUGGAGAUCAUAUUAUAAACUCCAAUGAUCAAUCACAACUUUAACUUGCUAUGUUGAGUUCGAUGUUGUGACAUGUGCAGAAAGUUGGUGCGAAAGUCAUUAAGACACACAUUAUAAUUAUUUUGUGGGAUUUUAUUUUUAUUGUGUUUUCUAUUAUUUCUAUUACUGACAUUUUGCAUUUGUUUUAUGAUAUGCUAACAACUUUUGUUGCUA
Long non-coding RNA from Lactuca sativa (garden lettuce), 388 nucleotides. RefSeq lists it as uncharacterized. NCBI's taxonomy places the organism in Eukaryota, Viridiplantae, Streptophyta, Magnoliopsida, Asterales, Asteraceae. The record is from RefSeq and is a predicted model, not a curated record.